GAUGAACGCUGGCGGCGUGCUUAACACAUGCAAGUCGAACGGGAAACCUUUUAUUGAAGCUUCGGCAGAUUUAGCUGGUUUCUAGUGGCGGACGGGUGAGUAACGCGUGGGUAACCUGCCUUAUACAGGGGGAUAACAACCAGAAAUGGUUGCUAAUACCGCAUAAGCGCACAGGACCGCAUGGUCCGGUGUGAAAAACUCCGGUGGUAUAAGAUGGACCCGCGUUGGAUUAGCUAGUUGGCAGGGUAACGGCCUACCAAGGCGACGAUCCAUAGCCGGCCUGAGAGGGUGAACGGCCACAUUGGGACUGAGACACGGCCCAGACUCCUACGGGAGGCAGCAGUGGGGAAUAUUGCACAAUGGGGGAAACCCUGAUGCAGCGACGCCGCGUGAAGGAAGAAGUAUCUCGGUAUGUAAACUUCUAUCAGCAGGGAAGAUAGUGACG
This 445-nucleotide ribosomal RNA is filed under the name uncultured bacterium. RNAcentral describes it as "bacterial SSU rRNA". It matches the Rfam family "Bacterial small subunit ribosomal RNA", at positions 28 to 456 of the family's 1533-position model. The record is from RNAcentral.